Molecule: ribosomal RNA, 546 nt
Filed under: Rhizobium sp.
Lineage: Bacteria; Pseudomonadati; Pseudomonadota; Alphaproteobacteria; Hyphomicrobiales; Rhizobiaceae
Also listed under: 1 other name
Description: bacterial SSU rRNA
Rfam family: Bacterial small subunit ribosomal RNA
Source: RNAcentral
AGCGGCAGACGGGUGAGUAACGCGUGGGAAUCUACCUUUUGCUACGGAAUAACGCAGGGAAACUUGUGCUAAUACCGUAUGUGUCCUUCGGGAGAAAGAUUUAUCGGCAAGAGAUGAGCCCGCGUUGGAUUAGCUAGUUGGUGGGGUAAAGGCCUACCAAGGCGACGAUCCAUAGCUGGUCUGAGAGGAUGAUCAGCCACAUUGGGACUGAGACACGGCCCAAACUCAUACGGGAGGCAGCAGUGGGGAAUAUUGGACAAUGGGCGCAAGCCUGAUCCAGCCAUGCCGCGUGAGUGAUGAAGGCCCUAGGGUUGUAAAGCUCUUUCACCGGAGAAGAUAAUGACGGUAUCCGGAGAAGAAGCCCCGGCUAACUUCGUGCCAGCAGCCGCGGUAAUACGAAGGGGGCUAGCGUUGUUCGGAAUUACUGGGCGUAAAGCGCACGUAGGCGGAUCGAUCAGUCAGGGGUGAAAUCCCAGGGCUCAACCCUGGAACUGCCUUUGAUACUGUCGAUCUGGAGUAUGGAAGAGGUGAGUGGAAUUCCGAGUG